Molecule: ribosomal RNA, 1665 nt
Filed under: Staphylococcus aureus
Lineage: Bacteria; Bacillati; Bacillota; Bacilli; Caryophanales; Staphylococcaceae
Description: partial 23S ribosomal RNA
Rfam family: Bacterial large subunit ribosomal RNA
Source: RNAcentral
UUGUUGGGGUUGUAGGACACUCUAUACGGAGUUACAAAGGACGACAUUAGACGAAUCAUCUGGAAAGAUGAAUCAAAGAAGGUAAUAAUCCUGUAGUCGAAAAUGUUGUCUCUCUUGAGUGGAUCCUGAGUACGACGGAGCACGUGAAAUUCCGUCGGAAUCUGGGAGGACCAUCUCCUAAGGCUAAAUACUCUCUAGUGACCGAUAGUGAACCAGUACCGUGAGGGAAAGGUGAAAAGCACCCCGGAAGGGGAGUGAAAUAGAACCUGAAACCGUGUGCUUACAAGUAGUCAGAGCCCGUUAAUGGGUGAUGGCGUGCCUUUUGUAGAAUGAACCGGCGAGUUACGAUUUGAUGCAAGGUUAAGCAGUAAAUGUGGAGCCGUAGCGAAAGCGAGUCUGAAUAGGGCGUUUAGUAUUUGGUCGUAGACCCGAAACCAGGUGAUCUACCCUUGGUCAGGUUGAAGUUCAGGUAACACUGAAUGGAGGACCGAACCGACUUACGUUGAAAAGUGAGCGGAUGAACUGAGGGUAGCGGAGAAAUUCCAAUCGAACCUGGAGAUAGCUGGUUCUCUCCGAAAUAGCUUUAGGGCUAGCCUCAAGUGAUGAUUAUUGGAGGUAGAGCACUGUUUGGACGAGGGGCCCCUCUCGGGUUACCGAAUUCAGACAAACUCCGAAUGCCAAUUAAUUUAACUUGGGAGUCAGAACAUGGGUGAUAAGGUCCGUGUUCGAAAGGGAAACAGCCCAGACCACCAGCUAAGGUCCCAAAAUAUAUGUUAAGUGGAAAAGGAUGUGGCGUUGCCCAGACAACUAGGAUGUUGGCUUAGAAGCAGCCAUCAUUUAAAGAGUGCGUAAUAGCUCACUAGUCGAGUGACACUGCGCCGAAAAUGUACCGGGGCUAAACAUAUUACCGAAGCUGUGGAUUGUCCUUUGGACAAUGGUAGGAGAGCGUUCUAAGGGCGUUGAAGCAUGAUCGUAAGGACAUGUGGAGCGCUUAGAAGUGAGAAUGCCGGUGUGAGUAGCGAAAGACGGGUGAGAAUCCCGUCCACCGAUUGACUAAGGUUUCCAGAGGAAGGCUCGUCCGCUCUGGGUUAGUCGGGUCCUAAGCUGAGGCCGACAGGCGUAGGCGAUGGAUAACAGGUUGAUAUUCCUGUACCACCUAUAAUCGUUUUAAUCGAUGGGGGGACGCAGUAGGAUAGGCGAAGCGUGCGAUUGGAUUGCACGUCUAAGCAGUAAGGCUGAGUAUUAGGCAAAUCCGGUACUCAUUAAGGCUGAGCUGUGAUGGGGAGAAGACAUUGUGUCUUCGAGUCGUUGAUUUCACACUGCCGAGAAAAGCCUCUAGAUAGAAAAUAGGUGCCCGUACCGCAAACCGACACAGGUAGUCAAGAUGAGAAUUCUAAGGUGAGCGAGCGAACUCUCGUUAAGGAACUCGGCAAAAUGACCCCGUAACUUCGGGAGAAGGGGUGCUCUUUAGGGUUAACGCCCAGAAGAGCCGCAGUGAAUAGGCCCAAGCGACUGUUUAUCAAAAACACAGGUCUCUGCUAAACCGUAAGGUGAUGUAUAGGGGCUGACGCCUGCCCGGUGCUGGAAGGUUAAGAGGAGUGGUUAGCUUCUGCGAAGCUACGAAUCGAAGCCCCAGUAAACGGCGGCCGUAACUAUAACGGUCCU